GCUAAUGUCACCCAAGGGUAGUCGUGUAGUGAGCUAAGCUACCUUUCACCAUGCCAUUUAAAGUGUGUAGAUUUUACUUUCUUUUUCUCUCUAAUUGGGUUUCCACAAUAGUGAGUGCCACUAAUAAAUUCCCAUCACGAUUGAGAACGGAUAACAAAAUUUGUUUCUUUACACAAAAGCACCACACACUCGUAUCCUUGCAUACUUGUAUCUUUUCUGUUUAAUCAAUCAGCGAAUGGUGAUUCGUUUUUCCUUUUUAUUGUAAUAAAUUUCAUUUCAUUUGUCGAUCUAUAUCACACGCAAUUUCAGAUCCUAUCGCGUUUAGUGCCUAAUGUUAUGUAAUCUGUUCUCAAUGCUUUAACGACAGGGGGAGAUCAUUUCUUCAGGAGAUGCAAGAGGAUACACAGAUGACACUGGAACGCACUGCACGAGUCACUAUCCUAGUCAUAAGCCAAAAGAGAAGUAGUGUGCACUUACGAUGUUACCAACCUAAAGUCGCUAUCAGCGACGAUGGAACAGUUGUGAUCGAGAUCUUCGCUAUCAUCACCGGAAGUGUGUCCGCUCUGAUUCUCGUGCCGAUGAAUGACCACCACUUCCUCGUCCUCGGAAUCGCCUGCGACUCCAUCGCAAGAUCUCUCAACCUCUGGGUCGCUAUCCUGCGACGAGGUCGGUGAAUCGUCUAUCAUCACAUCGUGAACGAGCCUGUUUUCAGUAAUAGUUCGCAGUAUUAAUUAUUGAAAUUGAUCAUUUAAAAUAUGAAACUUUUAAGGGCAAAGAUCAAAUGUUACUAAUGUUCUUACCAAACACCAGCAAUGAUCAUUAUAUUAAAUUCUUGAUUAAUUUUAGAGGCAAAGAGUGAGACACGAAGAAGUUUUAAGCGUGAAACUAAGAAAUUGAAAAAGCAGGAGAAUGAUAUUAACAGAAUGAGAAUGUAAUGAUAACAGGAGCUGUAUCUGGAAAGUCUAUGUUUGUAUGUACCAAUCGACUAUACAACUGUUAGUGAAUUUUAUAUCAUGUAGAUGAAUGAUAUAUUCUUUAAUUUUUCUACUAAAUAAUUAAAUGUUUUGUAAUAUAAAAAUGACGUUCAUGUUAUACAACGGAUAAUAUGAAAGGUAUAUCUUCGUUUCUAGGGAAUAGGUAAGAUCUUUUAUGUCAUAUUCAACGAAUAUCAGAAUUAAUUGAAAUUUCUUAACAAAAAUAAUAUGUCGUGUUUUAAUACAUCUUUUGUUAAAGUAUUAUCUAUUUAAAAAGCAAGUGAAUCAAAGUUGACAGAUUGGAACUCCCAGGAAACGUCUCGCGACUAAGAAACACUCGGAUACCAUUGACCAACAGGUAAACGACGUGUUAUUUUAAUCUUGUGGUUUACGAUAUAUGUAUACGUAUCUUCUAUAAACUUCAAUAUUCAUAUCGCUCAACAGUUAUAUGAAAAAUUAUAUUUUAUUUUUCUGAAAAAUA
This is a long non-coding RNA of Bombus terrestris (buff-tailed bumblebee), 1455 nucleotides long. RefSeq lists it as uncharacterized. The transcript has 2 exons. NCBI's taxonomy places the organism in Eukaryota, Metazoa, Arthropoda, Insecta, Hymenoptera, Apidae. The record is from RefSeq and is a predicted model, not a curated record.